UUGCCUGCGGUCUGCCGUAGUUUCCAAUUCUUCUGUCAUUCCUACAUACACUCAUUUUGCUGGUAAAAUAACUGGCUAUUUUAUUUUUAAGGUUGACAGGGACAAAAAUCCCCAUUUCUGCCCCACUCAGGGAAGCAGCUGCCUCCCAGGGCAGAACCAGAAACUACUGUCCCUUCUGACCUCCUGCCCCGGUGGCCCUGGUUACUCUCCCCAGAAGGCUGCUAGUGUCUCUGUAAAUCAUUGGGAUGGAGGGUGGGAGGUGGGCAGGGGUCUCUGCAGAACUUCUCUCCAGAAGCCAUCUCAUCCUGCUGCGUCAAGCUCCCUAGUAAUCAUCUGCCUGACUCAUCCUUGUUAAAAUAAAUUCAAGCAACAUGGAAAAGCAUGAAGAAGAAGGGAAAAGCCACCCACAAUCCAGUGACCAGUGUCAACAUGUGGAGGAUGCCAUGGGAGACAUCUCUGUCCACACAGCAACUCUGCAAGGCAAUAAUUAUUAUCCCUGCCUCAGGCAUCAGGACUCCGAGGCUCAGAGAGCUGAGCAGCCACUUUGGCCUGAUAUCAUGAUCUGGGAAGAACAGCCAUGAAAUUUACAGAAUGUGUUGUACCAGCGGUCAGAACCCAGGGCUUCCAGUGGUGCUGUAAGUUUUUAUGA
Leptonychotes weddellii (Weddell seal) is the source of this 649-nucleotide non-coding RNA. The record is from RefSeq and is a predicted model, not a curated record. NCBI's taxonomy places the organism in Eukaryota, Metazoa, Chordata, Mammalia, Carnivora, Phocidae.